AGAGUUUGAUUCUGGCUCAGAACGAACGCUGGCGGCGUGGAUAAGACAUGCAAGUCGAACGCUGGUAUAAAGGUAGCAAUAUUUUUGUGCCGGAGUGGCGAACGGGUGCGUAACACGUGGGUAAUUUGCCGUAGAGUUGGGGAUAACCUAUCGAAAGGUAGGCUAAUACCGGAUGUGACUUCAGGGAGGCAUCUCUAAGAAUUCAAAGCCGGGGACCGCAAGGCCUGGCGCUCUAUGAUAAGCCCGCGGCCUAUCAGCUUGUUGGUGCGGUAAUGGCGCACCAAGGCUUAGACGGGUAGCUGGUCUGAGAGGACGAUCAGUCACACUGGAACUGAGACACGGUCCAGACACCUACGGGUGGCAGCAGUCGAGAAUCUUUCACAAUGGGCGAAAGCCUGAUGGAGCGACGCCGCGUGGGGGAUGAAGGGCCUCGGUCCGUAAACCCCUGUCAUCUGUGAGCAAAGCAUUUCGUCUAAUACGCGAAAUGUUGAUAGUAGCAGAAGAGGAAGGGACGGCUAACUCCGUGCCAGCAGCCGCGGUAAUACGGAGGUCCCAAGCGUUGUUCGGAUUCACUGGGCGUAAAGGGUGCGUAGGUGGCUGAGAAAGUUUGAUGUGAAAGCUCCGGGCUCAACCCGGAAAUUGCAUUGAAAACUCCUCAGCUAGAGGGAUCGGAGGGGAGACUGGAAUUCUUGGUGUAGCAGUGAAAUGCAUAGAUAUCAAGAGGAACAUCAGUGGCGAAGGCGACUUUCUGGACGAUUCCUGACACUGAGGCACGAAGGCUAGGGGAGCAAACAGGAUUAGAUACCCUGGUAGUCCUAGCAGUAAACGGUGCGCGCUUGCUGUAGGCGGAUUCGACCCCGUCUGUGGCGUAGCUAACGCGUUAAGCGCGCCGCCUGGGGAGUACGGCCGCAAGGUUAAAACUCAAAGAAAUUGACGGGGGCCUGCACAAGCGGUGGAGUAUGUGGCUUAAUUCGAUGCAACGCGAAGAACCUUACCUGGGUUUGACAUGUAAGUGGAUAAGAUCUGAAAGGGUGACGAGGUAGCAAUACCAGCUUGAAUAGGUGCUGCAUGGCUGUCGUCAGCUCGUGUCGUGAGAUGUUAGGUUAAGUCCCGCAACGAGCGCAACCCUCAUGUUCUGUUGCCACCCAAACGAGAGUUUGGAGCACUCCGAACAGACUGCCCCAUUUUAAUGGGGAGGAAGGUGGGGAUGACGUCAAGUCAGUAUGGCCCUUACGGCCAGGGCUGCACACGUACUACAAUGCCCGGCACAAAGGGAAGCAAUACCGCGAGGUGGAGCCAAUCCCAUAAAACCAGGCCCAGUUCGGAUUGUAGUCUGCAACUCGACUACAUGAAGCCGGAAUCGCUAGUAAUGGCGCAUCAGCUACGGCGCCGUGAAUACGUUCCCAGGCCUUGUACACACCGCCCGUCACAUCAUGAAAGUCGGCUGUACCCGAAGUCGCUGAGCUAACCCGCAAGGGAGGCAGGUGCCGAAGGUAUGGCUGGUAAUUGGGAUGAAGUCGUAACAAGGUAGCCGU
Molecule: ribosomal RNA, 1535 nt
Filed under: uncultured prokaryote
Description: partial 16S ribosomal RNA
Rfam family: Bacterial small subunit ribosomal RNA
Source: RNAcentral